This 504-nucleotide ribosomal RNA is filed under the name uncultured Petrotoga sp. RNAcentral's name for it is "bacterial SSU rRNA". It matches the Rfam family "Bacterial small subunit ribosomal RNA", at positions 8 to 526 of the family's 1533-position model. Lineage: Bacteria; Thermotogati; Thermotogota; Thermotogae; Petrotogales; Petrotogaceae. The record is from RNAcentral.
AGAGUUUGAUCCUGGCUCAGGGUUAACGCUGGCGGCGUGCCUAACACAUGCAAGUCGAACGGUUCUAAGCGCGAGCUUAGGAUAGUGGCGAACGGGUGAGUAAAAGGUAGGAAUCUACCCCUUGGACGGAGAUAGCUACUGGAAACGGUAGGUAAACUUCGAUAAGCCCGAGAGGGGAAAGUGGUGAGACAGCCGAGGGAUGAGCCUACUCUCCAUCAGGUAGUUGGUGAGAUAAAAGCUUACCAAGCCGAUGACGGAUAACCGGUGUGAGAGCAUGAACGGUCACAAGGGCACUGAGAGACGGGCCCUACUCCUACGGGAGGCAGCAGUGGGGAAUCUUGGACAAUGGGCGAAAGCCUGAUCCAGCGACGCCGCGUGGAGGAAGAAGUCCUUCGGGAUGUAAACUUCUGAACUAGCCGAAUAAAAGGCCUGUGGACACACAGGAGAAGAAAGUAGGCUAGGAAAAGUCCCGGCUAAGNUACGUGCCAGCCGCCGCGGUAAUAC